RNA transcript from Corvus hawaiiensis (hawaiian crow), 4967 nucleotides. It is a transcript of the gene named semaphorin 4D, with no coding region annotated. NCBI's taxonomy places the organism in Eukaryota, Metazoa, Chordata, Aves, Passeriformes, Corvidae. The transcript is spliced from 17 exons. The record is from RefSeq and is a predicted model, not a curated record.
CCGCACCUACGGAACGCAGUCGGUCCUGCCGCCUCACGGGGCCCGGGCCGCCGCUGGGUUCGGGCGGGGGGCGAGGGCUGAGGCAGCCCCCGCCUGCGACGCGGCUGGAGUGAGGCGGAGAGGAGGAGCCUCCAGCAGCAGCAAAUGAGCGAGGGCUGUCAGGUUUAUAAAUCUGCUUUUCCUCCCACCGCCCCCGAGCCCCGCUGACUCCGGCGGGAGCGAUCGCCUGCCCGCUGGCUGCGGCUCCGCCAGCAUCAUUUAUUUCUCCAGCGAAACAGAAGAAUGCACUCAGUCACACUUCUCAGCAACUCUGUAGCCUGUGGAGCGUGUGGGCAGUCUCUGUAUGCAGCAUCCUGGAAAAUGUGUGUUCUCUUGAAGUGAUCUGCUGAAAAGCACGUGCUUGUACAGUUGUUCCAGCCUCCCUUGUUGCACUGCUCUCAAGGUCUGAAAUGCCUUGUCUCUAAUACUCCCUGGGAUCUGCAUUUCGUCUGCCAAAGAAACGCUACCUGCUGCAGUUACCCAGUGAACCCCGAAGAGCAAGGACACUGAAGAUGGCCCUGUGUGCUUAUUAUGCAGUUUGGGGUUUGUUGCUAGAAGUGGCAGUAGCAUUUGGCCCAGUACCAAGGAUCACUUGGGAACACAAAGAGGUCCAGCUAAUACAUUUUAAUGAAUCAAAAGUGUCAAACUAUUCAACCUUGCUGUUAAGUGAAGACAAAAAUGUUCUAUAUGUAGGAGCCAGGGAAGUGAUCUUUGCCUUAAACGCAGUGAAUAUUGCUGAGAAGCAGCACGAGUUACACUGGAAGGUCACAGAAGAUAAAAGGACUAAAUGUGCAGUCAAGGGCAAAUCAGAACAGACAGAGUGUCGUAAUUAUGUGCGCGUCUUGCAACAGCUGAAUGAUACUUUUCUCUACGUGUGUGGAACUAAUGCAUUUCAGCCAACAUGUGAUUACCUGAAUUUAAUUUCAUUUGAACUUGGAGGUAAAAAUGAGGAUGGUAAGGGCAGAUGUCCAUUUGAUCCUGCUCAAAGCUACACAUCUGUUAUGGUUGAUGAGGAGCUUUAUUCUGGGACUUCUUACAAUUUCUUGGGAAGUGAACCUAUUAUUUCACGGCACUCUCAUCAGAGCCCUCUGAGAACGGAGUAUGCAAUUCCUUGGCUUAAUGAGCCCAACUUUGUUUUUGCUGAUGUGAUAAGAGCAGAUCCAAACAGCACAGAUGGAGAAGACGACAAGAUAUACUUCUUUUUCACUGAGGUGUCUGUGGAGUAUGAAUUUGUUGGAAAAUUGAUGAUACCAAGAAUAGCUAGAGUAUGCAAGAGGGACCAAGGAGGAUUAAGGACCUUGCAGAAAAAAUGGACUUCCUUUCUCAAGGCCAGACUGAUUUGUACCAUCCCUGAUAAGAAUUUAAUUUUCAAUGUUAUCAAUGAUGUUUUUAUUCUCAAAUCUCCAACUUUGAAGGAACCAGUGAUAUAUGGAGUCUUCACCCCACAGCUGAAUAAUGUGGGGUUGUCAGCAGUGUGUGCGUACAAUCUGUCUACUGUAGAAGAGGUUUUCUCAAAAGGAAAAUACAUGCAGAGUGCUACAGUAGAACAGUCUCACACAAAGUGGGUACGAUACAAUGGGGAAAUUCCUAAUCCUCGACCUGGUGCGUGUAUAAACAAUGAAGCCAGAGCAUCAAACUACAUGAGUUCUCUGAAUUUACCAGACAAAACAUUGCAGUUUGUUAAAGAUCAUCCUCUGAUGGAUGACUCAGUGACCCCAAUGGGAGACAGACCUCGGCUAGUAAAGCGAGAUGUGAAGUACACACAGAUUGUAGUUGACAGAGUCAGAGUACUCAAUGGCACCAUCUAUGAUGUUAUGUUCAUUGGUACAGAUCGAGGAGCCCUGCACAAAGCUAUCAGCUAUGAAAAUGGAAUGCAUAUUAUUGAAGAAACACAGCUUUUUCCAAAUUUUGAACCAGUCCAAACUCUCGUGCUUUCAUCCAAAACAGUAAGUGGUGGCAGAAGAUACCUCUUUGCUGGUUCAAAUUCUGGUGUGGUGCAGUCUCCAGUGGCAUUCUGUGACAAGUACACCACUUGUGUUGACUGUGUUUUAGCAAGGGAUCCUUACUGUGCUUGGAAACCCCUUGAAGCUUCCUGCAUUGAUAUUUUUAAAGAAGGUGAAAUGGAAAGGAGCUGGAUUCAAAACAUAGGUGGAGAUGCAUCUUCUUGUUCUGCCUCAUCUCCUAUACCUUUCCCUCCUACUGGUACCUCCUUUUUGUCCUGUGUGGGAAGUGAUUCACCUCCUUCACCCACCAGUACCCAGCCUGAUGUUUGGUCUAGCAAAGACCCCGUAAAGGUCAUGUUGUUGCCACCUUUCCUAAGUGACCAGGCACAGCAUGUUAGUAUCCGGGGACCCUUCCACCUCUUCUGCCAAGCCACAGUCCCUGGUUCUAGCUUACUGGUGCCUCAUCUGAUUUUUCUUCACAGACAAUUAUCUAUGUUCCAAUUGCAAAACCUUUUUCUGGACACCGUCAGAGAACAUCCGAAUAAAUGCAUGAACAGUUACCAAUUGCAUUUUCAUGUAAUGUGCCAGUCAGCCAUUUUCCCAACCUGCUUUUAAAUUCCACUCCAAGAAGACAGAGGCCGUGUCCUACUUGCACCCACAUGUGCUGUGCAUCACCUCUAGUGACUGGUUGCUGCUUCCAGCUUUUAGGUGGUUCACGUUUAGCAGGAAGCGCUUCCUGCUUUUCAUCUGCCUUCGUAAGGCUGCAUCAGCUUGUGGUGAUGUCACACACAGGGACCGGUAAUUUAAUGAAGCACCACGUGUCUGAAGGAGGAGGACAUCAUGCAUCCUUCAGUAUGAAAUAUGUGGUGUUGGAAGUAAUAUUCUGUGGCAUUUCAGAGCGGUCUAUUUUCUUGGCUUUUUAAAGGGACUUUUUUCCAUUGCUGUCAAGCUUGUCUUCUAGAAUGCAUUGCCCUACUUUAACAAUCAAAAACAAACACCAGUCAACAAAACUACAAAAAAAAUGCACCCCUGUUAUAGGGGGUACAGGCUAUUUAAUUUGCACAAUAUUUGAAGAAAACUGCAAAGAUGAUUGCCUCAAUUAAAGAUUUUUUUUCUUCACUUUUCCAGUCAGUUACCCACUGAUGGCUUCAUUUUGUACUGAUUUAUUAUUCUGGUAUGUUAUCAGCAGCAAUGACUCAGACUCCUACAACUCAAGAACUAUGACCAGCCCUAAAUCUUUCAUUCACAUACUAGGUAGUGCUGGUGGUAAUAUUUCAUAUUAAUGAUUGACUAACCUCUUCCUGGGCUAACUUUGAUGCCUGAUUUAAAAAAAACUUCCUGCAUCCAGAUUAUAGGGCCUUUUUAAAACUUAAUCCCUGCUCUGGAUGAGGGCUUCCUGUAUGAUCUUGGUUUUCAGAAAUCUGGGAUGUUUGCUUCAGUAGCAUUCAGGAAAGCUGCAAGCUUGAUAGCAAGCAUUAAAUCCAGAUGCCAUUCUUUUUCUUAGUCUGCUGCAUGUAGUGAGCUUUGAAAGAGGUUUUGGUGUGUAUUGGGUUAUACAAGGAAGUUUUUUCCUAAACCUGAACUUCCCAUCACUGUGGAUAGCCUCCGGUAGCAGUUCUUUGUCUAGAUUAUAGGCAUUUGUGUAAAAGAUUCUUUGUUACCCUGGUAGAAUUUCUCUGUGGGAUACCUGUCGGUUAUCUUCCCUGCAUUUCAAUUUGCUGGCAACUUGCAGAAAUUAUUAGCUGGGGUCUAGGUUUGCUGAUGGCUCCUGCUGUUGUAACAAGUCCCCUGUCUUUAUCUUGGAAGUGUUUCUGUGAAUAUAGGGAAGCCUUAUUAAAUGCUACCCUUCAAGAACUGGGUUAGAAAUGAGGGAGACCUUAUGCUGAACCACCAGCAGUGGUAGCACUGCUCAGGGUUCACAGUGCAGCUUCACUGGGCUGCUUUUGAAAUCUCCACAGCUCUCUGCACAUUGCAGCACUUGGCACAAGGAGCCAGCGUGGCCAGUGCUCCCUCUUGGUCCUCCUGCCUUAUGUCACUGAGCUCAACUUAAUCCAUAAUCUGCUCCUUUUAAAUUAGUGUCUCCAAGCUGUCUUGAAACCCGUAUGUCUACUAGGAUGUGAUGUGUAUAUGGCAAAUGCUUAAUUUGAUCCAGCUGAGCAGGGCACAUCCCCAUGCUGCUCUGACUCUGUAGCUGUAUACUUCAGUUGCUUCAAGUCUGCUUUUUUUUUUACUUACUUUUUUAACCUUAGGUCAAAUUUACAUGAAUAACCCAGUGAAUGCAGUCAGACUGUGGGUAGAAGAUUACAAGCAGCUGCGGUGGUUUGAGUUUCUAUGCUACCUAUGACAGCUGAAUUUUUUUCUCAUGGAAAAUACUGAGAAAAAAAUCAUCUGGGUAUUAAAUAUGUCAUUUGUGUAAACCAGCCUGAUUUCACAUAGGUCAGAGAACCCAUUCUGCUGGCAGAAACUACCUGGACAGUACCUGGGCCAUUACUACCUGCGUGUUAUAAUUUCAUUCGAACUGCUGAAAGCAGAGGAAAUGAAGUCUAUGUGGGAAAGAAGCAAACACUUCCACAGACACUGGAAAUUUUGAGGGGUUUAUGCAAAGAAAAGGGGUAGUUCAGAUAAUGCCACAAAGUUUCUUAUAUUUUUGUUUGAUAUCUGUUAAUUCCCCUUCUAGAAUCACCAAGGUGGUGAAGUUGGUUUUAUUUCAUCACGUGUAAUUAAUGUAGUUUAUUGAAGCAAUGUUUUUGAUGUUAACUGUUUGAAAUAUAAUUAAUGACUUCUCAGACAUAGCUACUUAUAUACCUGGCCUGUUGUGCUGUUUAGUUCUCUAUUGGAUUAUUAUGUUUUAAUAAGAUUACUUUUUUUAAAUCUUUCAAGCAUUCCUAACAUGGAUGGCAAAGUCCGGAUGACUCCUACUUUGUCUGGAAGAAGAAUGGACAAAAGAUGAAGGCGUGCAUCACAGAGCAAUCUCACAUGCUGCUU